CUUGCGAGAUGGGAAAACAGAGAAGGUGAGCAUCAUCUGGUCCGGGUACUCCUCCCUGAUCCUGGAACUCAGUUGCGUGCCCAUGCCCGAACCGGUGCCCCCGCCGAUGGAGUGGCACACCUGGAAGCUACCUUGGAGGCAGUCGCAGUUCUCGGCCUCCUUGUGGACGACGUUGAGGAUGGAGCUCAUCUCGGUGUAGUGGCCCUUGGCCCACUUGUUUCCGGCGCCGGACUGGCCGAAGACAAAGUUGUCGGGGCAGAAGAUCUGUCUAUAGGGCCCAAUGCGCACGGAGUCCAUGGUGUCGGGCUGGUAGUGGAUGACGACGGAGUCAGG
This 333-nucleotide ribosomal RNA is filed under the name Triticum aestivum (bread wheat). RNAcentral's name for it is "partial small subunit ribosomal RNA". Lineage: Eukaryota; Viridiplantae; Streptophyta; Magnoliopsida; Poales; Poaceae. The record is from RNAcentral.